ACUUAAUAUGUAUGUCCUGGAUCUGAGAGUUAAUGUAAUUGUUAGUGUGUUUUACAGUAGUCUCCUCUCAGGUCCAGUGGGGGAAUGCCCCUGAAAUUUCUAUCAGGAAACCCCUUGCAUGGGGAUUCACAUAAAAGGCCGUGUGUGACUCCUAUUAAAACAGUUCCAGUUCAUCCCCAGUAGAGAUGUCGCGAACCGUCCGCGAACUUCUCGCGAACGGUUCACCACGAACCAUUCGUGGCGAACUCCGGGCAGCUGACACAUCCCGGCCAAUCUCCAGCAGACCCUCCCUCCCAGACCCUUCUACUUCCUGGACAGCAUCCAUGUUGAAGGCAGCUUCAACAUGGAUGCUGUCCAGGAGGUGGGAGGGUCUGGGAGGGAGGGUCUGCUGGAGAUUGGCCGGGAUGUGUCAGCUGACCGGAGUUCGCUGCGAACGGUUCGUGGCGAAAUGCGGCGAACUGUUCGUGAGAAGUUCGCGAACAGUUUCGCGACAUCUCUAAUCCCCAGCAUAGAGCCUCAUCUCAUGUCUGUGGGGGAAGGCUAUACAGGCU
This is a non-coding RNA of Pelobates cultripes (western spadefoot toad), 551 nucleotides long. The record is from the annotation of a GenBank genome assembly. NCBI's taxonomy places the organism in Eukaryota, Metazoa, Chordata, Amphibia, Anura, Pelobatidae.